UACGUAGGUGGCAAGCGUUGUCCGGAAUUAUUGGGCGUAAAGCGCGCGCAGGCGGUCCCUUAAGUCUGAUGUGAAAGCCCACGGCUCAACCGUGGAGGGUCAUUGGAAACUGGGGGACUUGAGUACAGAAGAGGAAAGCGGAACUCCACGUGUAGCGGUGAAAUGCGUAGAGAUGUGGAGGAACACCAGUGGCGAAGGCGGCUUUCUGGUCUGUAACUGACGCUGAGGCGCGAAAGCGUGGGGAGCAAACAGG
Molecule: ribosomal RNA, 253 nt
Filed under: uncultured bacterium
Lineage: Bacteria
Description: partial 16S ribosomal RNA
Rfam family: Bacterial small subunit ribosomal RNA
Source: RNAcentral